RNAcentral lists this long non-coding RNA (507 nucleotides) under Bos taurus (domestic cattle). Its description in RNAcentral is "long non-coding RNA NONBTAT018432". Lineage: Eukaryota; Metazoa; Chordata; Mammalia; Artiodactyla; Bovidae. The record is from RNAcentral.
UUAUGGAUGUAAGCCAAGAGAUUUUAAAAGAGAAGAAGUCAACCUUUAUGUGUUUGGGUCUUACUAUCCAGAAGUAUUAUUCAGAUCAAGAAAUUCAUGUUGAUGAAACCUGAUCCUGUGUUAUUGGAGAGUGAAUGUCAUUAAGUAUUUCUGAAAUGUUUCUAAAAAGUGAACAUUUAAAAAAUACUGUGUUUUCUCCCUAGCUUCCUGUUAUAGCAUUUCCAAUUGCUUCAUACUUCACAGUUUUAAUGAAUACAAAGUAUAAGCUCUACUUUAUAACACAUCCUGUAGGUUUCUUUAAAACUGUUUUUAUAUUCCAGUUACAUUUCUCUAUCUGAAAACUCUUUUGUUACUGCUGCAGGUUACACCCUUCAUUCUUAGAGGCCAUUUUGUUUUGUUUGUUUUAUGCUAAAGCUGUUGUUGAAAUGCUCUAAAUUCCAAGGCAGAUUGUCUGUGUAAUACCCUACAGCUUUUACCAUGUGGUGUGUACCAGCCAGUACUCUGUAU